ACUAAUGCUGAGAUGGGCAUUACAAUUUUCUUUCAAGGGAACAGACCAAACCAAACUGCGACUUUAUUUGUAAAUAUUUGAAAUUUAUAUUAUGUCUCUUAUGUGAUCUCAGAGGACUUAAUUUUUAUGUGGGGACAUCAAGCUACCUUUAGUGACUUACAAGCUAUCAACCAACAAGAGUUUUCCCUUCUUUUGGAGCCUGCUAAGCUAUCAACAAACAAAGAGGUUGUCCGUUCUCUUGCUAAUGAAAUAUGUAUUUACUAGAAUUUUUGUUAUUAUCAGAAGAGGGUUAUAUUUUUAUGGGAGGCUGCAUUUGUUAUGGUUCGGUAUUUCUAAAGGGGUACAUUUCUUUGUAGGUACUAUGCUGAGACUGAAGAGGAUGCUAGCCAGCGGCCCACCUCUCUUGUCGUCACCGCUGAGCCGCCAUGUCUCCUUCAGAGGCUUACUGUAUUGCUACAUGUUUAUGCUUCUUAUCCACUCACCCAUUGUAGUGUAGGUUUGUGUUCUUGGAUCUCUUUCCCUCCAUUUCUUAUUUUUGGUGAGCGGGUGAGCUAAUUGGGCUAUUUUCCUCUAGGUCUAUUGCGGCAAUUGAAUGCUUCAAAGGAUUUUAAUGGAGUUCAUUGUAGCUGAGUCGUGAAUCUCCAGCUUGCUUCCAUGUCUUUUCUCACUAGAGACACCUCCUGCCGGCGAUGGCGAUGACCGCUACCCUGCUCCUCUCCCGGCAAAGGCAUGUCUACCUCUCCUGUG
RNAcentral lists this long non-coding RNA (747 nucleotides) under Triticum aestivum (bread wheat). RNAcentral's name for it is "long non-coding RNA (TAES_LNC026843)". The record is from RNAcentral. Lineage: Eukaryota; Viridiplantae; Streptophyta; Magnoliopsida; Poales; Poaceae.